This 72-nucleotide transfer RNA is filed under the name Dipodomys ordii (Ord's kangaroo rat). It matches the Rfam family "tRNA". Rfam says of the family: Transfer RNA (tRNA) molecules are approximately 80 nucleotides in length. The record is from Rfam by way of RNAcentral. Lineage: Eukaryota; Metazoa; Chordata; Mammalia; Rodentia; Heteromyidae.
GGAAAUGUGGCUUAGUGGUAGAGUGCUUGCCUAGCAUGCAUGAGAAGCCCUGGGUUCAAUUCCUCAGUACCA